AUUGAACGCUGGCGGCAGGCCUAACACAUGCAAGUCGAAUGGUAACAGGAAACAGCUUGCUGUUUCGCUGACGAGUGGCGGACGGGUGAGUAAUGUCUGGGAAACUGCCUGAUGGAGGGGGAUAACUACUGGAAACGGUAGCUAAUACCGCAUAACGUCGCAAGACCAAAGAGGGGGACCUUCGGGCCUCUUGCCAUCAGAUGUGCCCAGAUGGGAUUAGCUAGUAGGUGGGGUAACGGCUCACCUAGGCGACGAUCCCUAGCUGGUCUGAGAGGAUGACCCGCCACACUGGAACUGAGACACGGUCCAGACUCCUACGGGAGGCAGCAGUGGGGAAUAUUGCACAAUGGGCGCAAGCCUGAUGCAGCCAUGCCGCGUGUAUGAAGAAGGCCUUCGGGUUGUAAAGUACUUUCAGCGGGGAGGAAGGGAGUAAAGUUAAUACCUUUGCUCAUUGACGUUACCCGCAGAAGAAGCACCGGCUAACUCCGUG
Molecule: ribosomal RNA, 490 nt
Filed under: uncultured bacterium
Lineage: Bacteria
Description: partial 16S ribosomal RNA
Rfam family: Bacterial small subunit ribosomal RNA
Source: RNAcentral